RNAcentral lists this ribosomal RNA (253 nucleotides) under uncultured bacterium. Its description in RNAcentral is "partial 16S ribosomal RNA". It matches the Rfam family "Bacterial small subunit ribosomal RNA", at positions 524 to 776 of the family's 1533-position model. The record is from RNAcentral.
UACGGAGGGGGCUAGCGUUGUUCGGAAUUACUGGGCGUAAAGCGCACGUAGGCGGCUUUGUAAGUUAGAGGUGAAAGCCCGGGGCUCAACCCCGGAAUUGCCUUUAAGACUGCAUCGCUUGAAUUGUGGAGAGGUAAGUGGAAUUCCGAGUGCAGAGGUGAAAUUCGUAGAUAUUCGGAAGAACACCAGUGGCGAAGGCGACUUACUGGGCACAUAUUGACGCUGAGGUGCGAAAGCGUGGGGAGCAAACAGG